AUUGAACGCUGGCGGCAUGCUUUACACAUGCAAGUCGAACGGUAACAGGCCGCAAGGUGCUGACGAGUGGCGAACGGGUGAGUAAUGCAUCGGAACGUGCCCAGUCGUGGGGGAUAACUACUCGAAAGAGUAGCUAAUACCGCAUACGAUCUAUGGAUGAAAGCGGGGGACCGUAAGGCCUCGCGCGAUUGGAGCGGCCGAUGUCGGAUUAGGUAGUUGGUGGGGUAAAGGCUCACCAAGCCAACGAUCUGUAGCUGGUCUGAGAGGACGACCAGCCACACUGGGACUGAGACACGGCCCAGACUCCUACGGGAGGCAGCAGUGGGGAAUUUUGGACAAUGGGCGCAAGCCUGAUCCAGCAACGCCGCGUGCAGGAAGAAGGCCUUCGGGUUGUAAACUGCUUUUGUACGGAACGAAACGGCUCUGGUUAAUACCCGGGGCUAAUGACGGUACCGUAAGAAUAAGCACCGGCUAACUACGUG
RNAcentral lists this ribosomal RNA (482 nucleotides) under uncultured bacterium. RNAcentral's name for it is "partial 16S ribosomal RNA". It matches the Rfam family "Bacterial small subunit ribosomal RNA", at positions 30 to 507 of the family's 1533-position model. The record is from RNAcentral.